This is an RNA transcript of Ricinus communis (castor bean), 3490 nucleotides long. It is a transcript of the gene named type I inositol polyphosphate 5-phosphatase 10, with no coding region annotated. The transcript is spliced from 9 exons. Lineage: Eukaryota; Viridiplantae; Streptophyta; Magnoliopsida; Malpighiales; Euphorbiaceae. The record is from RefSeq and is a predicted model, not a curated record.
AUAAAAUAAAUUAAAAUCAAUAAAACUUUUAAAAAUAAAAAUAAAUAGAAAGUAAAAUAUAAUAAAUUUGUUAGCUUUAAAUCAGAGAUAUUCUUUAAGAUAUUCUCAAUUAUAACAAUAAUAAUUCUGCAUGCAAAUAUUUUGGUGUAUUAUUCAUCGGUAUUAACGAUGCAUUAAAUCAGAGGAAAAUUUAAUUAAAAUUAAAUUAAAUAUUAUUAUACAAUAUGUAAAAUGAAUAGCAAAAAUCAUGAACAGAACAAUUAUCAAUGUUUUUUCAGAGUCUAAACUCCCCUUUCUUCUAUACAGGAAUUAAACAAAAUCACAUGUUUUCCACAACUUAAAAAAUCCAACAGAAUCACAAUUCUCGUUUUGCAGGGAAAUUAAUUUCUGUGAAGUGAUUGUCAUAUUAAACAGGUUUAUAUCCACUCAUUAUGGACAGACCCGAAUUCAAAAUCCAACCAAAAAAAAAAAGAAAAAACAUAUAAAGAAAGAAUUAUUAGAAGCACGUUUUUAUCAUUAUCAGUUGUUGGGAAGAUAAUGUUUAAUUUCUUGCUUUGCUUCAAUAAGACCGACAGUUGUCAGUGACAACAGAAUAUUCAGAAUUUCUUUUACUUUCUUUGGAAUUUGAUGCUCAUAAAAACCAUGGUAGAUUCUUGGCUACAAAGUUGACUUUCUUGAAAAUAUACCCAAUACCAUUCUUCUUCUUUGUUUUUUCUUACUGUUUCUUUCUUUCUAUGCAGAAUUUCCUGAUUCUGAUGUUUUGAUUUUCCUUUUAUGCUAAUUCCUGUAUGUUUCCCUUUAGUUUGAAAGAUAUGCCAUUUUAAGCCAUUGUGAUUAAUGAGAGCCCAGCAGUUUUAAACAUGAAAUUAAGUAAGGAAGAACUCGAUAAGAAGCUUGGAUGAGUAUGCACUGUAGUGGUUGAUGAUUCUAUUAUGCUAUGCUCUACAGUCCUUUCUUGGAAAAUUCUUUUCACCAAAAGAGCAGAACAGGAAGAAAAUGAAGAAAGGUUCACUUGCUAUAUCUGGCAAGUGCUGUGGAAAAUUGAAAACCAAUCAUUUAUCAUCAUUGUUUUCUUGUUCAUGUCUUGGGAAUCAAAUGGAAGAUAAAAAAGACUUCCUUUUUGUCUUUACAAAGAUGACAUUAUUCCAUGUUCUUUUUCUAGAUUAGUUACAAAAUAUGAAGGGGUCAAGGUCUUGGAACAGUUAAAUUGAUAAUCAUAAAACAAAGACCAGAGCAUAAUUGCAAUUUGCUUCCAAAAUUGAGAAUAUAUUCUUGCUUUAAUGUUUUGCAAGAAAGCAAACAAGAAUGGUAUAUUUUUAACUUUCUUUAUUCAACUGAUGCUCAAUAUUGGAUUGAUGUUUUGAUUUUCCACUUCUUUUUAUUCAAUCUCAUUAUGACUGCUUUAUCAUCUAUGGGAAAAGAAAUGUGGUGGAAUCUAACAGGUCCUUGGAUUUGUUUAAUACCAAACUGCAAAAGGAAGCUGAAUUUCUUCUGGCCUGAAAAGAGUGUCCUUAAAUUCCACUACCUACUAUCUUGAUGCAGCUUGUUACUUAUCAGAACUCUGCUCUCCAAUCUUUCUACUUGCAGAAACACACUCUGAUUUAGCAAUCCAGUAUCUAUUUUCCAACUGUUUAAGCACUCCAAUGCCAAGCAAUAGAACUCAAUCAUUCAGAGUCUUUGUAGCAACAUGGAAUGUGGGGGGGAAAUCUCCUCAUAACAGCUUGAACUUGGAUCAGUUUCUUCAGAUCCACAAUCAAUCAGAUAUUUAUGUUUUAGGAUUUCAGGAAAUUGUUCCACUGAAUGCUGGAAAUGUACUUGUGGUAGAAGACAAUGAGCCUGCUGCAAAAUGGCUAGCUUUAAUUGAUCAAUCACUAAACAGAUCACGCAGUGUAGCUAUAAGAGGAUCAAAAAACUUAACCCCACUUGGCAGCUCACUUUUGUUUCAAAAGCCUUCUCUGAGGAAGAUCUGUAAGAAUUUCAGAACUGAAAGUAGAAGGAGGCUAAAGACAUGCAACUGUAGUCAUGGAUUACAAAGGAAGAAUAGCAAAGAUUUCUGUUUAUGGUGUCCACCUACAAACUUAAGUGAAGAUGAUGAUGUUUCCUUGGAGGGUGCUGAUGAUGGACUUGAAAGCUAUGUAUCUUCAGCAGUUUCCAAUGCUAGUUGUGUCAACCAGCAGAAGUACAGUCUUAUAGUGGGCAAACAAAUGGUUGGAAUUUUUGUUACAGUUUGGGUAAGGAAAGAGCUUGUUCAGUAUGUUAGCCACUUGAGAGUCUCUUACGUUAGCCGUGGGAUCAUGGGCUACCUUGGAAACAAGGGAUGUAUAUCUGUUAGCAUGUCUUUCCAUCAGACAAGCUUUUGCUUUGUCUGCAGUCACUUGGCAUCAGGAGAGAAAGAGGGAGAUGAAUUAAGGAGAAAUAUGGAUGUGAUAGAGAUACUUAAAAAUACACAAUUUCAGAGAAUAUGCAGAUCACCUUUUUCUCGGGUACCUGAGAAAAUUUUUGAGCAUGACCGUGCCAUAUGGUUAGGGGACCUGAAUUACAGAAUAGCUUUGAGCUACUCUGAAACCCGAAAGCUGCUGGAGCGAAAUGAUUGGAAAGCAUUGUUUGACAAAGAUCAGCUAAAAAUUGAGAGAGAAGCUGGGAGAGUUUUCAAGGGAUGGAAAGAAGGGAAGAUCUACUUUGCACCCACAUACAAAUACUCAUACAAUUCAGACACUUAUGCUGGAGAGACUACAGAAACGAAAAACAAAAGAAGAACUCCAGCUUGUUCAAGAUCUACAGGUGUGAUAGAAUACUUUGGCGUGGAAAUGGGAUACACCAACUUUCAUACGUACGUUGGGAGUCCCAGUUUUCUGACCACAGGCCUGUUUGCUCAACAUUUAUGGUGGAUGUAGAGCUUACUGAUAAUGAAUCAAAUAAGGGUUCAUCAAACUUUAAUAUGAAAGUUGCAAGCGAAGAGUACCUGCCUCCAGCUAGAAAGUAAUUGCUUCAGGUUUUAACAAGCUGGUUGCAACUGUUUUAAGAUUGAAGAGAACCAAAUUUUGCCUUCACAUAGGGUAGAGAGUAGCAUUCUUGUUGUGGCAACUUAAUGUAGUUCUGCGGCUAAAACUUCCAUUACAGAGUUGUGAUUCAAACUCGGCAUCUCAGAUGGAAUAGUAAGCCAGUUAUUUUUCUGCACAGAAAAUUAAGAGGAUGAAGUUUAUUUGAAAAGAGAAAUAAAACUUUCUCCUCAAUGGCAUCCUCUAAUUCUUCCCAAUGUUUAUACAUUGGCUGCAUUUUUUUCUGACAGACAGCUAAGUUAGUCUGCAAUCACACAGGAGUUGCAACUGUGUUUUUAUAUGUGAAAAGUAAUCCAUCACAAUUUGAGGAUAGUGGGUUCCAAACUCGGGACUCAUUAGCCACCAUUGAAACAUUUGGACGAGUUAUGAUGGAUGUAAUAACUCAUUACACAGAAAAUUCUGUAAUAUCUAAUUUUAUAAUUUAUUAUUCA